Molecule: ribosomal RNA, 403 nt
Filed under: Verrucomicrobiota bacterium
Lineage: Bacteria; Pseudomonadati; Verrucomicrobiota
Description: Verrucomicrobia bacterium partial 16S ribosomal RNA
Rfam family: Bacterial small subunit ribosomal RNA
Source: RNAcentral
UGGGGAAUAUUGCACAAUGGGGGAAACCCUGAUGCAGCGACGCCGCGUGAGCGAAGAAGGCUUUCGAGUCGUAAAGCUCUGUCCUAUGAGAAGAUAAUGACGGUAUCAUAGGAGGAAGCCCUGGCUAAAUACGUGCCAGCAGCCGCGGUAAUACGUAUGGGGCGAGCGUUGUCCGGAAUUAUUGGGCGUAAAGGGUACGUAGGUGGUUUUUUAAGUCAGGUGUCAAAGCGUGGAGCUUAACUCCAUUAAGCACUUGAAACUGAAAGACUUGAGUGAAGGAGAGGAAAGUGGAAUUCCUAGUGUAGCGGUGAAAUGCGUAGAUAUUAGGAGGAAUACCGGUGGCGAAGGCGACUUUCUGGACGAAAACUGACGCUGAGGCGCGAAAGCGUGGGGAGCAAACAGG